This 349-nucleotide ribosomal RNA is filed under the name uncultured bacterium. RNAcentral's name for it is "bacterial SSU rRNA". It matches the Rfam family "Bacterial small subunit ribosomal RNA", at positions 8 to 353 of the family's 1533-position model. The record is from RNAcentral.
AGAGUUUGAUCCUGGCUCAGGAUGAACGCUAGCUACAGGCUUAACACAUGCAAGUCGAGGGGCAUCAGGGUGUAGCAAUACACCGCUGGCGACCGGCGCACGGGUGAGUAACACGUAUCCAACCUGCCCUUUACUCGGGGAUAGCCUUUCGAAAGAAAGAUUAAUACCCGAUGGUAUAACAUGACCUCCUGGUUUUGUUAUUAAAGAAUUUCGGUAGAGGAUGGGGAUGCGUUCCAUUAGGCAGUUGGCGGGGUAACGGCCCACCAAAUCUUCGAUGGAUAGGGGUUCUGAGAGGAAGGUCCCCCACAUUGGAACUGAGACACGGUCCAAACUCCUACGAGAGGCAGCA